RNAcentral lists this ribosomal RNA (497 nucleotides) under uncultured bacterium. RNAcentral's name for it is "partial 16S ribosomal RNA". It matches the Rfam family "Bacterial small subunit ribosomal RNA", at positions 28 to 507 of the family's 1533-position model. The record is from RNAcentral.
GAUGAACGCUGGCGGCGUGCCUAAUACAUGCAAGUCGAGCGAACAGAUGAGGAGCUUGCUCCUCUGACGUUAGCGGCGGACGGGUGAGUAACACGUGGAUAACCUACCUAUAAGACUGGGAUAACUUCGGGAAACCGGAGCUAAUACCGGAUAAUAUAUUGAACCGCAUGGUUCAAUAGUGAAAGACGGUUUUGCUGUCACUUAUAGAUGGAUCCGCGCCGCAUUAGCUAGUUGGUAAGGUAACGGCUUACCAAGGCAACGAUGCGUAGCCGACCUGAGAGGGUGAUCGGCCACACUGGAACUGAGACACGGUCCAGACUCCUACGGGAGGCAGCAGUAGGGAAUCUUCAGCAAUGGGCGAAAGCCUGACGGAGCAACGCCGCGUGAGUGAUGAAGGUCUUCGGAUCGUAAAACUCUGUUAUUAGGGAAGAACAAAUGUGUAAGUAACUAUGCACGUCUUGACGGUACCUAAUCAGAAAGCCACGGCUAACUCCGUG